GGUUGAUCCUGCCAGUAGUCAUAUGCUUGUCUCAAAGAUUAAGCCAUGCAUGUCUCAGUGUAAACUUUUAAACGGUGAAACUGCGAAUGGCUCAUUAAAACAGUUAUAGUUUAUUUGAUGUUCAUUUCUACAUGGAUAACCGUGGGAAUUCCAGGGCUAAUACAUGCGGCUCCUCUGGAGCGAGUGUUUAUUAGAUUCAAACCAAAACCGUGUAAUAGCGGGUAUAUUGGAAUGAUAAUAACCUUUCGAAUCGCAUGCCGUAUGGU
RNAcentral lists this ribosomal RNA (266 nucleotides) under uncultured eukaryote. Its description in RNAcentral is "partial 18S ribosomal RNA". It matches the Rfam family "Eukaryotic small subunit ribosomal RNA", at positions 6 to 284 of the family's 1831-position model. The record is from RNAcentral.